RNAcentral lists this ribosomal RNA (515 nucleotides) under uncultured bacterium. RNAcentral's name for it is "bacterial SSU rRNA". It matches the Rfam family "Bacterial small subunit ribosomal RNA", at positions 15 to 518 of the family's 1533-position model. The record is from RNAcentral.
GAUCCUGGCUCAGGAUGAACGCUAGCUACAGGCUUAACACAUGCAAGUCGAGGGGCAGCAUGAUCGAAGCUUGCUUUGAUUGAUGGCGACCGGCGCACGGGUGAGUAACGCGUAUCCAACCUUCCCUAUAGUAGAGAAUAGCCCGGCGAAAGUCGGAUUAAUGCUCUAUGUUGUAUUUAGAAGACAUCUGAAGAAUACCAAAGGUUUACCGCUAUAGGAUGGGGAUGCGUCUGAUUAGGUAGUAGGCGGGGUAACGGCCCACCUAGCCGACGAUCAGUAGGGGUUCUGAGAGGAAGGUCCCCCACAUUGGAACUGAGACACGGUCCAAACUCCUACGGGAGGCAGCAGUGAGGAAUAUUGGUCAAUGGACGGAAGUCUGAACCAGCCAAGUAGCGUGCAGGAAUGACGGCCCUAUGGGUUGUAAACUGCUUUUAUAUAGGGAUAAAGUGCACUACGUGUAGUGUUUUGUAGGUACUAUAUGAAUAAGGACCGGCUAAUUCCGUGCCAGCAGCAGC